AACGAAGGGAGUGAGAGUAUUUUAUUGGGUUGUAAUUAGUUUUAGGGAUGGUUGAAUUAGGGUAUUUGUUAGGUGAAAUUUUAAAGUUUUAGUUAACCAAGAAUUGAAUGAAUGAAGUUAUGAAGAUUGGAUGUAAAACUGGGAUUAGAUACCCCAUUAUUCCAAACGUUAAGUGAAACCCAGAGUAGUAAUAGUUAAGUUCUCAAAACUCAAAGAAUUUGGCGGUGUUUUAAUCCAACCAGAGGAACCUGCCCCGUAAUCGAUAUCCCACGUUUACUUAACUUAGUCUGGUUUAGCUUGUAUACCGCCGUCAGAAGGGGGAUUUUAGAAAAUACCCUCAGGAUUUAGAAUUAAAGUGAAUGUCAGGUCAAGGUGCAGUUUAUGGCUAAGGGGAGGUGGGUUACAAUAGUUUCAACUAAACGGAUUCUUAUUUGUAAUUGUGAGGAGAAGGUGGAUUUGGGGGUAAUGAAAUAUAAGAUGAUUUUAUGAUUAUGGCUCUAAAACAAGCACACAUCGCCCGUCGCUCUCGUUUUAAGGCGAG
RNAcentral lists this ribosomal RNA (541 nucleotides) under Bleptus fasciatus. Its description in RNAcentral is "partial 12S ribosomal RNA". Lineage: Eukaryota; Metazoa; Arthropoda; Insecta; Ephemeroptera; Heptageniidae. The record is from RNAcentral.